AGUGAACGCUGGCGGUAGGCCUAACACAUGCAAGUCGAACGGCAGCACAGUAAUAGCUUGCUCUUACGGGUGGCGAGUGGCGGACGGUUGCGGAAUACAUCGGAAUCUGCUUUUUCUUGGGGGAGAACGUAGGGAAACUUACGCUAAUACCGCAUACGACCUACGGGGGAAAGCAGGGGAUCUUCCGACCUUGCGCGAUUGUAUGAGCGGAGGUCGGAUUAGCUAGUUGGCGGGGUAAAGGCCCACCAAGGCGACGAUCCGUAGCUGGUCUGAGAGGAUGAUCAGCCACACUGGAACUGAGACACGGUCCAGACUCCUACGGGAGGCAGCAGUGGGGAAUAUUGGACAAUGGGCGAAAGCCUGAUCCAGCCAUGCCGCGUGGGUGAAGAAGGCCUUCGGGUUGUAAAGCACUUUUGUUGGGAAAGAAAAGCAGCAGGUUAAUACCCCGCUGUUCUGACGGUACCCAAAGAAUAAGCACCGGCUAACUUCGUG
This 492-nucleotide ribosomal RNA is filed under the name uncultured bacterium. RNAcentral's name for it is "partial 16S ribosomal RNA". It matches the Rfam family "Bacterial small subunit ribosomal RNA", at positions 29 to 507 of the family's 1533-position model. The record is from RNAcentral.